GUGGGAGGGGGCUUGCUCCCGAUAGCUGAGUGUCAGUCAGCUAAUCUUUACCUGACACACCGCAAUCGGGGGCAAGCCCCCUCCCAC
Molecule: unclassified non-coding RNA, 87 nt
Filed under: Pseudomonas synxantha
Lineage: Bacteria; Pseudomonadati; Pseudomonadota; Gammaproteobacteria; Pseudomonadales; Pseudomonadaceae
Source: RNAcentral